AAAACACCUUAUUUCCCUGCCAGCCUCAACAGGCUGCAAAGGUGGUGAGGCUGAGAAUGGUCCGAAAAUUUCAAAGUGUGAUGGAUUAGACAGAGGAAAAAAAAAAAGCAGGCAAAGCAGGAUAGUUUCCAUACAAAUUCUUUCCAUUAUACCGGGUUUCUUUUAAAGGCUCUGCCAAGACAUAGCAAGAUUUUCGAGCGUGGAAACUAAAGAAGCAAUGCAGCCCUGCACAAAAGCUUUCCUCCUUGCCACCCGAGGUGGGGUGCAGUUUGGCUCUAACAUGGCCAAAUGGCUGUCAGAGCUAAGCACGCGUGUUGUGCUGCCCUGAGCGCAGCCUGAGAACACAGAGCGGGGAAGGAUGGCAUGCAGACUGCCUGGAAAGGUGGGUGAUGCCUGCAAAGCAGAGAACCACCAGCUCUAAGCUAAAAAGCUUGGUGAAUAAUAUACAAUGAAUGGAAAGCUGGGGGUUUGAUUAUGCAGACAGGCCAGGACUGAGCCCAACUUGAGGAGCUCUGUGCGUGCAGCAGAAGGGAGAUGCAAAUUAAAGCAGUGGUGAAAGGAGGCCAGAGAAGGAGAGCAGGAAAGGCCUGAGCUGAGCUCCUACAGGGCAGCAGUGGAGACGGAGGGAUGAUGAUGGAGCUGUGCAGGCCUACAAAUGCGGGCUGCCCCAAGCCAGGCGCUCACCCUGCUGAGGCCUGGGGGCAGGGGCCAGUGGCAGGCCCAGCCCUGCUGGCGCUCAGGGGUGCUGGGUGUGCUCACCCUGUGUGCUCUGGGGCUUUGCCUUCCCUUCUGCAAGCUGGCACAGCUGCUUUGUCUCCUCUCACUCCAUCUUUUGGGGCUGUCAAGCUCAGUUCUUGAGCCUUCUGUGAGCAGGAAAGAAGCAAGCUAAUGCAGGAGCAAAGCAGGCAGCCCAGCCCUGCAGCAUGGAGCUCCACACAGCAGUGACAGAUUAAAGUUUCGCCAUGCAGACUGAGAUACAUUUUUGUGGAUGGAAGUUACGCACUGUGGGCAAGCAAUAAUAGCUACGGUUCCUUCAGAGGCCACCCUGAGUUACAAGCAGAGAGGAUUGUGAGUCAACUUCAGUUUUUAAUACAAAUGGAACUGGCUGGCUACCAAUGUGAGUCUGUUCUUUCCAGUGAUUUCCAGCAAGAGCAUAACAUCUUCCUUCAUCUAUUAUGAUUUCACUUUUUGGAUGUAACUUUUCUAAAAAUAUGAUUACAAAUUGUCUCAGAAUAUUUCAGCGUUCCCAUUGGAAGAUGAGACUUUUGCCUUAGAAAUCUUAUUACAACUCAUGCAAAACAAGUAUGCUGAGACCUGUAACUGAUACAAUACAAAUAUCCUGUCAAAUAAAUGCUCUGCAGUCAACA
This 1367-nucleotide long non-coding RNA is filed under the name Numida meleagris (helmeted guineafowl). Its description in RNAcentral is "lncRNA (ENSNMEG00000006961.1)". The record is from RNAcentral. Lineage: Eukaryota; Metazoa; Chordata; Aves; Galliformes; Numididae.